GAUGAAGAACGUAGCGAAAUGCGAUAAGUAGUGUGAAUUGCAGAAUUCAGUGAAUCAUCGAAUCUUUGAACGCACAUUGCGCCCUUUGGUAUUCCAAAGGGCAUGCCUGUUCGAGCGUCAUUUGUACCCUCAAGCUUUGCUUGGUGUUGGGCGUCUUGUCUCUAGCUUUGCUGGAGACUCGCCUUAAAGUAAUUGGCAGCCAGCCUACUGGUUUCGGAGCGCAGCACAAGUCGCACUCUCUAUCAGCAAAGGUCUAGCAUCCAUUAAGCCUUUUUUUCAACUUUUGACCUCGGAUCAGGUAGGGAUACCCGCUGAACUUAAGCAUAUCAAUAAGCGGAGGA
This 341-nucleotide unclassified non-coding RNA is filed under the name soil metagenome. Its description in RNAcentral is "partial contains 5.8S ribosomal RNA, internal transcribed spacer 2, and large subunit ribosomal RNA". The stretch from base 1 to 120 matches the Rfam family "5.8S ribosomal RNA", at positions 35 to 154 of the family's 154-position model. The record is from RNAcentral.